RNAcentral lists this ribosomal RNA (163 nucleotides) under uncultured bacterium. Its description in RNAcentral is "partial 16S ribosomal RNA". It matches the Rfam family "Bacterial small subunit ribosomal RNA", at positions 355 to 511 of the family's 1533-position model. The record is from RNAcentral.
UAGGGAAUCUUCCACAAUGGACGAAGUCUGAUGGAGCAACGCCGCGUGAGUGAAGAGGGGUUUCGGCUCGUAAAACUCUGUUGUUAAAGAAGAACAUAUCUGAGAGUAACUGUUCAGGUAUUGACGGUAUUUAACCAGAAAGCCACGGCUAACUACGUGCCAU